This 1402-nucleotide ribosomal RNA is filed under the name metagenome. RNAcentral's name for it is "bacterial SSU rRNA". It matches the Rfam family "Bacterial small subunit ribosomal RNA", at positions 121 to 1498 of the family's 1533-position model. The record is from RNAcentral.
GUAACGUACCUUGUGCACCGGGAUAGCGCCGUUAGUAGCAAUACUAACUACCGAAAGGGGCGAUAAUACCGGAUAAUGUUAUUGAUCGCAUGAUUGAUAACCAAAGGAUUUAUCGGCAUAAGAGCGGCCUAUCUCCUAUCAGCUUGUUGGCGAGGUAAUGGCUCACCAAGGCUAUGACGGGUACCGGGGUUGAGAGAUCGGCCCGGCACAUCAGCACUGAGACACUGGCUGGACCUCCACGGAGGGCUGCAGUAACGAAUAUUGGGCAAUGGGCGCAAGCCUGACCCAGCGACGCCGCGUGUAGGAUGAAGUCCUUCGGGAUGUAAACUACUUUUAGGAUUAUGAAAGCCGUCAGCAAUGGCGAUUGAUCUAAUCCAGAAAAAGUCACGGCUAACUCUGUGCCAGCAGCCGCGGUAAUACAGAGGUGGCAAGCGUUGUUCGGAAUCACUGGGCUUAAAGCGUGUGUAGGCAGGUCAGAAAGUGUCUUGUGAAAUCCUCCGCCUUAAUCGGAGAACUGCUCGGCAAACUUCUGACCUUGAGGCAAAUAGGGGUGUCUGGAACUCUUGGUGGAGCGGUGAAAUGCGUAGAUAUCAAGAGGAACGCCUGUGGUGAAAACGGGACACUGGGUUUGUACUGACGCUGAGACACGAAAGCGUGGGGAGUGAACGGGAUUAGAUACCCCGGUAAUCCACGCUGUAAACGAUGCAUACUUGGUGUUGGAAAUUCUGACAUUUUCAAGACCGGAGCAAAAGUGUUAAGUAUGCCGCCUGGGGAGUACGGUCGCAAGGCUAAAACUCAAAGGAAUUGACGGGGGCUCACACAAGCGGUGGAGCAUGUGGUUCAAUUCGAAACAACGCGCAGAACCUUACCUGGGUUUGACAUGGUUGAUGCCUUUCUGGAAACAGAGUAGGCUGCCCGCAAGGGUGAAACUUUCACAGGUGCUGCAUGGCUGUCGUCAGCUCGUGUCGUGAGAUGUCGGGUUAAGUCCCAUAACGAGCGAAACCCCUGCUGUUAGUUACUAUCUCCGCAAGGAGAGGACUCUAACAGGACUGCCGGUGUUAAACCGGAGGAAGGCGGGGAUGACGUCAAGUCCUCAUGGCCUUUAUGCCCAGGGCAACACACGUGCUACAAUGGUGGCUACAAAGCGAUGCAAGACCGUAAGGUGGAGCAAAUCGCAGAAAAACCAUCUCAGUCCGGAUUGAGGGCUGCAAUUCGCCCUCAUGAAGUUGGAAUCGCUAGUAAUCGCGAAUCAGCUAUGUCGCGGUGAAUGUGUUCCUGAGCCUUGUACACACCGCCCGUCAAGUGAUGGAAGCCGGAAAUACCCAAAAUCGGUUUGUCAACCCGCAAGGGGGACGACUGCCUACGGUAAGUUCGGUGACUGGCACUAAGUCGUAACAAGGUA